UGCACUGCAACCUCUCCGAGCUCCUCUUUUGAAAACUGAGUACCUGAAACCAAAAACUAAAAACCGUAAACAUGAAGCUUAGUGAGCUCCCCAAACUACUACAUACCAUACAAUAACAUAUAAAGCACAUACUGGGCCUUGCCCACUACAUUGGACCAAAGUCCAGAAACUACAUCGGGCCGAAGCUCGGACUAACUGGGACCUUGUCCCCUGCAUCGGACUGAAGUCCGGAAACUGCAUCGGGCCAAAGCCCGGACUAACUGGGACCUUCUCCCCUGCUUCGGACUGAAGUCCGGAAACUACAUCGGGUCGAAGCCCGGACUAACUGGGACCUUGUCCCCUGCGUCGGACCGAAGUCCGGAACUGACUGAUCAUAGCAUAGCAUAAACACAUAUCAACUAGUACAAACACAUACACUGCAUACUGCAUCGGACUGAAGUCCGGAAUACAUAACACAUAAACAUACUUGAAUCACAGAGACACCAAGCAUACUGAACUACUGCAUCGGACCGAAAUCCAAAACUACUGCUAACUAAACAGGCCGGCAUUGUGGUCGUAGACCCGUUCCUACUGGAAGGAAUCUCACCUCGUGAUGCUGACUACUGAAAUCCUGAAUGAGAAAUCCCUGUCUGCUGCUCCGGCUGCUUCCCGGCUAUCAAAGGAAAUAAAAUACUUAAUCAGAAUAGGGACUCUCCUCUGGGUAAAAUGACCAUUUUACCCCUGCUAUGGNAAAGUCAAAGUCAAAGUCCUGGUCAAAAUCAACCUUCCAGAUCAACCCUACUCGCAGCGUCUGCCUACUGACUCGCCGAGUUCAUACGCUCAGGAUCCUUUCAUUCAUGACUCGACUCGCCGAGUCUACUGAUUUCCGAGUUCUGCCCUGUCCAACUCACUGAGUCCCCACUCCACUCACUGAUCCGAGUCUUAACUCGAAGGGUUUGGGGUUUCGCGACUUGACUCGCCGAGUCCAAGAACAGACUCGCCGAGUCCUAGGCAAUCUUCAACAGACUCGCCGAGUUGUUCUUCCAACUCGUCGAGUUCCUGCCUAUCUUCAUCCAACUCGCCGAGUCUACCCAUGUGACUCGCCGAGUUACUACGCGACUCAAGCCUGAUAUCUAGCCUGACUCGCCGACUCCAUACGUGCAUUUCCAUAAUUUCGAGUCACAGAGCUUCUCCUUUGCUCCAAACAAUAGAUCUGGGUUCCUAGAGUCCAUUAGCAACAUAAAGUUGCUAACUUUACGUGUUUCUUGUCUCAUAAUACCAAAAACCAAGCUAAAGAGGAACUCAACUCAUGGGGAAAGGCUUUUGCAUAGCAACUAACAUGGCUUUCUGCACCUUUGGUCCAAAUAGAGCUCAGAUCUGGAGUUUCAACUCCAGAUCUAACUUGUGCACCGAUUUCUCAUCCCAUACUCUCAAAGAAACCCUAAAACUCCAUGAAAGAUGGAUCUAGAAAGGAGAAAGCCAAGGAUAACGAUUCAUUACCUCCAAAUGCCCUAAAAAGUUCCACCAUCUCUGGAUCCAAGGCCUCCUCUUGCACCACUAUGACUCUCUUCUCUUCCAAGCUCCAAAUUACUUCACCAAGGGUAGAUCUUGCUCCAAAAACGAUUAUGGUGGCUAGGGUUUGGGGUUCUGGACUAUAGGGGCCGCAAAUGAGCCCUAGGGAAGAGAAUAAGAUGCUUAAAUAGGGUACCGAGUCCUAGAAUUAGGGUUUCCCGACCCAGACCAAACUCGUCGAGUCCACUUGCCGACUCGCCGAGUCGGCCACUUACUUUACACCCGGAUCCCGCUCCGACUCGUCGAGUUCCUCCCUGGACUCAAUGAGUCGACCCCCCUUUAACUUAUGGUUUUCCUUUCCUUUCUUGACCUUUCUGAUUUCGGGUGUUUCACUUUUCUUAGCUACCGGUGAGAAUGUUUCCUCAUAAUCAAUUUCUGGAUUCUGAGAGUUAGUCUUUUCCACCAUACUAUCCUUGGAAGUGUGUACAUUCCUAUCCAUUUAGUCUUCAUAUUGAAUAUCUAAUUGCAACCCACUAUUAAAAGACUAAGCUUCAGAUCAACCAUUCUCAAACUUGGUUAUCCGUCAUGGACUGAAUUUUGCUAUCCUUAGACCCAUCUCAUUGGCAACCCCAAGGCCUGCCAUUGUUUCUUAAUAGGUACUAGAAUAUCCAAAUUGGUCCAUAUUUUAUCACUAUUUAACGUGUCACCUUUUGCGGUUGAUCAAAUUCAUAAAACUUGGGAGGCGCACUAACUCUACUUUAUUCGCAAAGAGGUAAACAAUGUCCUUUGACACAAGUGGUUUUCAACAUCAAGUUAAGAGCUAAUUCAAGCUAUAGGUUCAAUGUCAGUCAUAUCUCAUAUUUCAUCAAGGUCAACAUGACUCCCACUGACUUCUUUAUAUGUAUAUGUUCUUACUCUCAAGGAACACUCAUCUUGAGAUACAAGAAUCACAUUCUCAUGGGUAUUAGUUUCUCAUCUAACGAAAGAACUCACAACACCAUACCUAAAUGUGAUGGAACUUUCCAAGUCCACAUUUCAUCAGGUGUCUACAAAUCUACUUAGGCAGUUACAAGGUUCAAAACAUGUUCUACUAUUUCUAUGUGUAUUCCCAGAAAAUGUAAUUGGUAGUGAAUCACGAAUCAUCAUAGAUUCGAACUAAUUAGAAUUCGAUUCUCCUUUUAGAAACAACAUUAUAUUAUGGUUUCCUUGGAGAAUGAAAUUAUCGAAAGCAUUCCACAAUCUCUAAGAUGAUCGUAGAACUCGAUACUAAGGCAUUCUCCAUUCCUUUUAGAUCGGAAACUCUUUAUCUUCCUGUCCAAUUGAUUCCCUACUUUGUUUUGAUACUCUUGAGCUAUUCAAAAUGUCAAACUUAUACUUAAUCAUGUAAACAUAAUAAAAUCUAUUGAAACUAUCAGUAAAUAUGACAUAGUAGUGCUUGCCAUCCCUUGUCACGGAUCUAAAAGGUCCACACGCAUUGAUGUGUAGAAGAUCCAAAACAAGACUCGCAUACAUCAUCCAACCCAAAGUGGAAUGAUUACAUGUCCGGUGUAAUUGGAGCUUAGUGAUGGGAAUCAUACUUAUUUGGUAAGGGAGAUUAUUCCACAAGCACGUUGUUAUCUACACUAUUAGUGGAAUUAAUAUUUAAGUUAAUAUUGGUACUAUUAGAAACAUAAACUAAAAUUUUAUGAAUUCCAAAUGCAAGAAGAAGUUAUACACAUAAAACCAUCAUCUUUAUAUACUAGAAUUUCACUUUUCCAUUAUCAAAUGAAAAUUGAAAUUCAUGUUUAUGCAUCGCAUAAAAUGAAAUUAGGUUUAUAUACAUAUUCGAAGAGUAAUAGACAACAACUAAAUCUUUCUUCACUCCACUUCUAAGCACAAAGCUCUAAAUCUAUAAUAAUUGAGACAUGCGACACUCGUCCACUCCAAUGAUUAGGUUUAGGUCUCGAUGCUUAAGACUUCUUUCUUUCUUAUAGAUCCUUAAAUUUCAUACAAAUGUGAUUACCACAUAACACAUCAUGUAUCCAUGAAUUAGAAGUGUUUUGAGUUUGAUUAUCCAAGUGCUUGAUUUAGAGUCAAACAUUUGACUUUACCAUCUCCAAGUACUUAGGACAACUUCUUUUCUUCUGAUCAUUUUCAUCGAAUUGAUUGAAACUUGCCUCUUUUGAAUCGUGGUUGCGUAGAAUAGAGGACACACCAAUUCCAUUUGUGACAACUGGGAAAACUUCGUCACUGACCACCGUCAGAAAUUAGCAUAGAUAAAUAAAUGUAAUAGAGUGUCAAUGUAACAUUUCAUUUUAUAAAUAAAUAUGAUUGAGUAUAAUCUUACAUAUAAGAAUAAAACAACUAAUAGGCUCAAAAAGUCAUGUCGUACUUCUCGAGGAGGAUUUAUUAACGUAAUAUUUCAUUUUAUAAAUAAAUAUGAUUAAGUAUCAAUAUAAGAUUUCGUUUGAUAAAUUAAUCCGGCUUUGAUUGGAGAAGUUAUGAUUUUUGUAAAAAGUAAAAUCAAUUGCGUAAAUAAAGUUAUUAAUGUCAAAAUGUCACUAGGAGAUUGGUUAGGUUUUGUCUGGUGUCACCAAAAGGAAAGUGAAAGUACAUCUUGAGGUGAGAACGUUAAGACAAUGAACGCUGAAACAGAGUCUGUAUGAGGAAGAUAUGAUUUUUAUAAAAUUAUUUAAUUAUACCCCCAUUAGGCCAAAAGAUGAAAGUCAAAACUAGCCAAAACAACCUAACGAUAAGUUGUAGUACUACUUGAGAUCAUCACACAUAUAUAAAGGGGGUAAAGAUCAAACUCGUACGCACGAGAGAUGAUUUUACAAAAAUCAUUUAUAUACGCGUGUGGUGCGCGCAUUGCACGAUGUGCACUCUGACAUCCAAUUUGAGUACAUUGUUGGCGACGUUGCACAGCGAGAGAGUGACAGGCGGCGACUCUCGGAUGGAGCCACGGUGCUCAUGCGCAACGUGCACAUAUAUUUGUGUGGCGUGCACCCCAAAAACUUGGUAUAAAUAGGAGUAUCCACAGAACCAUUCCUGCACACCUCCUAAGUAUCUCCCUUUCAAUUUCUGAUUGAGGCAGUCCAUCCCGAGGCAGUCUCUGAAGUUUCUACUCCCGAAUCAACCCUACAUCAACGAAUCAAGAUAAUAGGGUGAGUUCACGACCCUACCUUUACUGUUUUUACAAGUUUACGUAGGGAAUACAUGUUAUAAGACUACUUUAUCGAUUUUUACAAAACGGUUAUUAUUUGUAAUAUAUUAGUAAUUUAUACAAAUACAUGAAACGUUAGGAUAAUAUUAUGACCGGUAGUUACCCUGCCUAAACUUUAGGAAUAAUACUAUGCCUAGUGGUUAUGCUGCCUAAAGCUAUAUUAAAAGAUUUCUGCUAGUUGUUAUGUUGGCUUAUACCGUAGGAUAACAUACUACCUAAUCGUCAUGCUAGCCAAACAUAAGGAUAAACAAUGUAAUUAGUUGUUACUCUGCCCUAAUAUCCUAUCAAAUAAUAUCAAUAUAUAUAUGGUCCAUUGGUAUAGCCUAGACUGCUCCAGCGCGCCAGCCUGGCCUGGCGCGCUCCUGGCGCGCUCCUGUCAGCCCUGCCUGGCGUUCCCUUGCCAGCCCUGCCUGGCGUUCCCUUGUCAGCCCUGCUGGGGACUCUCCUGCCGGCUCGGCCAGGCGCUCCCUCGCCUGGCACUCCCUUGCCAUCCUUUCCUGGUGCGCGCCCGCCAGCCUCUCCCGGCGCCUCCGGGCGGCCUCACCCAGCUCCUUGCUAGUUGGGCCUGAUUUGGAUAGGCCCAAGGUCUGACCUAAUUGUCCCAUAUAUAAUGAACCGUACCUUCUCCAUGAUUGAGGGGGACUCUCUCCUAGGUGGUUCAGCCACCACUAGACCCUUCCCUAGAUCUUCCCCCAUGGCUCAACCGCCACUAUAUUCCGGCCGGGUGGCUCAGUCGCCACCCGCGACCAUCAGCCACCAUACACCACCACCAGCACCAAGAUGGUUCUCUCCAGCCAUGGAGGACCAUCUCAAAUCUUCUAGCUGAUCUAACUUGACCGUCGGAGCCCGCUCCCGGGGCACAGUGCCUGGGGCGGCUCUAACGAUAUUGUACUGUGAUCUCAGAUCUCCGCUGCAGCAGAAGACCAGAGGAGCCGCCAUAGGUCGAUGUCGCAUCAUUUGGCGCCAUCCCGGAUUCGAGCAAGUAGCAAAAGCCUUAGUCGCUUUCAAGCUCGUUUUUCCUCAGAUCUAAUGUGUUUUCAUCUCAGGUUUCUUCAGAUCUGUUGAUCUCUAGUAUGAUUUGGUCAAUUAUGUUCAUGUUUGGCAUAAAUUUGUUCAGAUCCGUUUGGCUUUUGCCAAGAUCUGUUCAGAUCAAUGUGUUUCUUGACAAGAUGUCUUCAGAUCUAUUAAGCCAUCGUUUAGAUCUCAAGAUCUAUUUCAUUUUCAGUUCAGAUUUCUUGAGGUAUUUUCGUUUUUCAGCUCAGAUCUCUAGAUAUGAAAGUUUUUGUUCACUUAAUCAUCUCUCAAGUUUAAAAACAGCAACUCAGACCCGUUUUAAAUAUAUUUUCGGGGAGAGAAGAGGUUUUCAGGAGCUCCUCUCUAUUUUUAUGUUCAUAUUUUGGUGUUUUAUGGAACAACUCGACAGUUGAAGAACUUUUUGGUAGAUAUUUACUUUAUUUUGAGUUUAUGUUAUGAAGAAAUCACCUUCGGUUUACGGUUUUCUUUAGGUGCUUAGAAAAGAAAACGAAAAUUUCUUAGAUAUGUUUGUUGUUCAUACUUUAAUGACUUGAUGAGCAAGUUGAAAAGAAAAAAAAAAGUUCAUGAGGAGAAAACCUCAUCAGAUCUCGUUUUUGUUUAUAUCUUAAAGGUUGAGAAAGAAAAGAAGUUUUAUGAGUUUUAAACCCACUUUCAUCAGCUCUUAAGAUCAGAAAAAAUCAUUUGUUAGUUGGUUUUUUCAGUAUAUAACUCCAUUUUACAACUUCGGCUCUUGUAUUCAUUUGCAUUUUGGUGAUUUCUUGAGCAUUGAAAAGGAAAGAGGUUUCUACGGUUCAUAAACCAUCCUUUUUGUUCAAAUUGAGAAGAAAAUCCGUUUUUUAGAUAAGGAAAUUUGUAUGUUUUUUACCAAUUUUGACAGCUUCCUGUAAACAUAGCUAUGUUUCUUGUACAUUACAAAAAAAAAAAAAGAGAGAGGAAAAAUAACUUAAGCUCAUAAUCUUUUAUAAAUCUCUAUCUCUGUAAUUAUUUUGCUUGUACACAAAGCUAUGUCCAUUGUACACUUCUUAAAACCCCCAAAAAUUCGUUUAUCCCUUCUCACCAAAACCACCUGACCACAUUUUGUUAUUUUUAACUCAAAGAUUUAUUCUAGCCUCUCCAAUUUACUGCUCAAAAAACAACAAAAAAAGAAAGUAAGAAGAGACUUCUGGAAAUAAUGUGUAGAAAGAGGCGUAAUAAAGAAAGGGGGGUGUAUAGUGUACCCAGAUAAAAAGGAAGAAGACAAAAUACAGCUGGUGUGUCAUAUGCAGCGUAAGUGUAGGUGGGAUCCAAGCAUUUUGAAAGAUACAGAAGAGGCAAAAUGGGGCGCAUUUGGUCAACGCUCCUUUGGAGUAACCCGACUCACCCUUUCCAUUCAACCGACAACAACCACCAGAUCGGGCGUACCGAUGACCCAACAACAUCGUCUUCCUGUGUAGACGGACUCCAAUGAGGAACACAAAAAUAAAAAACAAUCAUAACCAGGGAUUUCAACCACCAGUCGCUACUAGUUCCAGGCACCCGACGAGGCACCACCGGCCUUUCCUUUUCGUGACCUGCUGAAGACAGCCGGAGCCGGGGACCGCCGAUCACUCGUCGGGACCAAAUGACAGCAGAUCCGAAGCAAAUAACCACAGGGGCCUCUCCAUUGACCCAUCAAUCAAAAACAAGCCAUCACCAACCUAUAGCUCCGACGAGCGAGCUCUGGAGGCAACAGUCUCUUGGCGACCCAAAACAAUCUCUGGCCCCGGCGUUUUUGUUUAAUCAAUAUUGGAUGAAAUUACAACACCGCCACUUAACCUCCGCGCCCCUGUGUCCAAUUAACCACCGCAUACGCCGGACGGUCGAAGAACCUCGGUCUCUAAGAGCUGCUCCCUCUGCCAGACUACCUGUCAUCGCCUCAUCACUACCGGCAACCCAACACGCCAAUGUCGCUGCCGGAAUCGCUGCUCUGUUUUCUUUCUCCGCCAUCGUCUCCAGGCAACGAACCACCGGGAAAGGCCGGCAAGAUGUCUAGGACACACAAGAUACCCAAUCACCGACGUGUUCCUUUUUGGCUCCCCACUUGAGAGAUUGGGAAAAUAAGAUGUUGGCUGGAAUCCUUCUAUCCCCAAGACGCAACAAAUGAGAAAACCAAUGGGCCCAAAGCUGGCCAGCCCAUAUGCGCACCAUAUAAUAAAAAAACAAUUGGGCUAAUUAUCUUUACACAAAUGUACUGUGGUUAUUGUGGGCUCCUCCUAAAAAUUGGCCAUAUGAUAUCGGUCAAUUUUUAACAAGCCUUAUUUUACCAAUUAGCCGCUCAUUGCUUUCUUGCUGUGAUUUGACCUAGCAAAAUCAAGAUGUGUUUGCGGUCCAGUUCAUCUUGCACCAUAUAAUAAUAAUAUAAAAAAAGCCAGAUUUAGGCUAACGAUUCAACAUUUGGGCUCAUCCAUAAAUGGGCUGCUGCCAUUAUAUUUUGGUUUUCUCCCAUAUUCGAUCACUUAGAAUAUCUCAACAGUUAAAUGGGCCGCUUUCGCAAGAGAAAAAUCAACAACUCAACGUCAUGUGCUCCGAUCCAGUCAAGCUGAAUAUGAUUCUAUAAGAUGCGGUCCGAC
This 8316-nucleotide long non-coding RNA is filed under the name Lactuca sativa (garden lettuce). RNAcentral's name for it is "long non-coding RNA (LSAT_LNC003601)". The record is from RNAcentral. Lineage: Eukaryota; Viridiplantae; Streptophyta; Magnoliopsida; Asterales; Asteraceae.